Molecule: ribosomal RNA, 601 nt
Filed under: uncultured bacterium
Lineage: Bacteria
Description: bacterial SSU rRNA
Rfam family: Bacterial small subunit ribosomal RNA
Source: RNAcentral
GCCAACAAGGCCUUUACUGACGCUAAAGCUCGAAGGUGCGGGUAUCGAACAGGAUUAGAUACCCUGGUAGUCCGCACGGUAAACGAUGGAUGCCCGCUGUUCGCGAUAUACGGUGAGCGGCCAAGAGAAAUCGUUAAGCAUCCCACCUGGGGAGUACGCCGGCAACGGUGAAACUCAAAGGAAUUGACGGGGGCCCGCACAAGCGGAGGAACAUGUGGUUUAAUUCGAUGAUACGCGAGGAACCUUACCCGGGCUUGAACUGCAGGAGAAGGAUACAGAGAUGUUGACGCCCUUCGGGGCUCCUGUGGAGGUGCUGCAUGGUUGUCGUCAGCUCGUGCCGUGAGGUGUCGGCUUAAGUGCCAUAACGAGCGCAACCCUUUUCGUCAGUUGCCAUCAGGUGAUGCUGGGCACUCUGGCGACACUGCCACCGUAAGGUGUGAGGAAGGUGGGGAUGACGUCAAAUCAGCACGGCCCUUACGUCCGGGGCUACACACGUGUUACAAUGGGGCAUACAGAAGGCCGGUCGCCCGCAAGAGCGAUCCAAUCUAAAAAGUGUCCCUCAGUUCGGAUUGGGGUCUGCAACCCGACCCCAUGAAGCUGG